CCUUUAGAUAAGACAUAUGAAAUGCCUCUAUAGCUUUGACUAUAGAGGCAUUUUCAUGUAUAAUAUUUGUAUUGCAAUAUUGGAUCAUGGCAGUUCUCGGGCCUGUGCAAUGGGGGCCUGUGAAUCGUGUCAGGACUGAGAGGUAGCAGCACUAAGCGGUAACCUUCAUGUGCCACGGGGAACCCGGGAGCUGUCGUGAUCGAAUAUUGCAAGGCGGCCUGAGGG
Molecule: signal recognition particle RNA, 225 nt
Filed under: Veillonella sp.
Lineage: Bacteria; Bacillati; Bacillota; Negativicutes; Veillonellales; Veillonellaceae
Description: signal recognition particle sRNA large type
Rfam family: Bacterial small signal recognition particle RNA (bases 94-193)
Source: RNAcentral